RNAcentral lists this ribosomal RNA (292 nucleotides) under uncultured bacterium. Its description in RNAcentral is "partial 16S ribosomal RNA". It matches the Rfam family "Bacterial small subunit ribosomal RNA", at positions 505 to 796 of the family's 1533-position model. The record is from RNAcentral.
GUGUCAGCAGCCGCGGUAAGACGAACCGUGCGAACGUUGUUCGGAAUCACUGGGCUUAAAGGGCGCGUAGGCGGGCCGCCAAGUCUGUGGUGAAAUCCCCCGGCUCAACCGGGGAACGGCCGCGGAUACUGGAGGUCUCGAGGGAGGUAGGGGCAUGCGGAACUACGGGUGGAGCGGUGAAAUGCGUUGAUAUCCGUAGGAACUCCGGUGGCGAAGGCGGCGUGCUGGACCUCUUCUGACGCUGAGGCGCGAAAGCCAGGGGAGCGAACGGGAUUAGAUACCCCCGUAGUCC